AGAGUUUGAUCCUGGCUCAGAACGAACGCUGGCGGUAUGCUUAACACAUGCAAGUCGGACGCGAAAGUUUCUUCGGAAGCGAGUAGAGUGGCGCACGGGUGAGUAACACGUAGAUAACCUGCCCUUCAGUCCGGGACAACCUUCUGAAAAGGGGGCUAAUACUGGAUAAUACUUAUUAACGAGUGUUUUUAAGUUGAAAGAUUUAUUGCUGGGGGAUGGGUCUGCGCACCAUUAGCUGGUUGGUAGGGUAACGGCUUACCAAGGCUACGAUGGUUAGCGGGUCUGAGAGGAUGGUCCGCCACACUGGAACUGAGACACGGUCCAGACUCCUACGGGAGGCAGCAGUGGGGAAUUUUGCGCAAUGGGCGUAAGCCUGACGCAGCAAUACCGCGUGAGUGAAGAAGGCCUUUGGGUCGUAAAGCUCUUUUUUCAGGGAAGAUGAUGACGGUACCUGAAGAAUAAGCGCCGGCUAACUCCGUGCCAGCAGCCGCGGUAAUACGGAGGGCGCGAGCGUUGUUCGGAUUUACUGGGCGUAAAGGGCGCGUAGGCGGCAUAACAAGCUAAGGGUGAAAUCCCGGGGCUCAACUCCGGAACUGUUCUUAGAACUGUUAAGCUAGAGAUAGUUAGAGGCGGGUGGAAUUCCUGGUGUAGAGGUGAAAUUCGUAGAUAUCAGGAGGAACACCGGAGGCGAAGGCGGCCCGCUGGGACUAUUCUGACGCUGAGGCGCGAAAGCGUGGGGAGCGAACGGGAUUAGAUACCCCGGUAGUCCACGCCGUAAACGAUGAAUACCGGCUGUUUGGGAAAUCGACCUUCCAAGUGGCGCGGCUAACGCGUUGAGUAUUCCGCCUGGGGAUUACGGUCGCAAGACUAAAACUCAAAGGAAUUGACGGGGGCCCGCACAAGCGGUGGAGCAUGUGGUUUAAUUCGACGCAACGCGAAGAACCUUACCUGGGUUUGACAUCCCCUGCUUGUCACAGAGAUGUGAUUUUCUCUUCGGAGACAGGGUGACAGGUGCUGCAUGGCUGUCGUCAGCUCGUGUCGUGAGAUGUUGGGUUAAGUCCCGCAACGAGCGCAACCCUUGUCCUUAGUUGCCAGCACAUAGUGGUGGGAACUCUAAGGAGACUGCCGGUGUUAAGCCGGAGGAAGGUGGGGAUGACGUCAAGUCCUCAUGGCCUUUAUAUCCAGGGCUACACACGUGCUACAAUGGUGACUACAAAGAGUCGCGAAGCCGCGAGGUGGAGCUAAUCUCAAAAAAGUCAUCUCAGUUCGGAUUGCAAUCUGCAACUCGGUUGCAUGAAGUUGGAAUCGCUAGUAAUCGUAGAUCAGCGUGCUACGGUGAAUACGUUCCCGGGCCUUGUACACACCGCCCGUCACACCAUGGGAGUUGACAUUAGCAGAAUACAUUGAGCUAACUUUCGAGAGGCAGGUGUAGAAGCUAGUGUUGAUGACUGGGGUGAAGUCGUAACAAGGUA
This 1472-nucleotide ribosomal RNA is filed under the name metagenome. RNAcentral describes it as "bacterial SSU rRNA". It matches the Rfam family "Bacterial small subunit ribosomal RNA". The record is from RNAcentral.